Amaranthus tricolor (Joseph's coat) is the source of this 834-nucleotide long non-coding RNA. RefSeq lists it as uncharacterized. The record is from RefSeq and is a predicted model, not a curated record. The transcript is spliced from 2 exons. NCBI's taxonomy places the organism in Eukaryota, Viridiplantae, Streptophyta, Magnoliopsida, Caryophyllales, Amaranthaceae.
GAAAAAAAAAAUCAGAAAAUUAAUUCAUAAAAGCAAAUUCCUAAAGAAAAAUUCUAAAAAAUCCUAGAAAAAUUCCUAAAAAUUCUCAAAAAUUUUCUAAUAAUAGUAUUUAGUGUUAGUUAUAGAAAUUCAAGGGGAAGAAGUCAAUUUUGUGGCUAGAUUUUCUACAACAAAAGAAAAGGAUUAAUAGUAAAAUUGUUAAAGGCAAUUUUACUCCACUCUUGUAUUGGACGCGGAUCACUUCUGAGCAUUAGAAUGCGUGCUUCGAGAUUUGGCAGAGUUCGAGACCGCACUACGGCACUUUUGUGAGCUCACGGGUCCAUUCAGAUAUGCUUUUAGUCCCAUUGGGUCUCGUUUGUACUUUUGCCGUGUUCUAAUGAAGAAAAAUAAGCACAUGAUGAUGGGCCCGGGCGGGUAUUUUCAUACCCGAGCGAUUUCAAUUGAGAAAUAGGAAUGUAAGCCUCCAAGCCCAGGACCCGGUCGGGUAUACUCUAAACCCGGUCGGGUCUGUCAAUAAUCACUUGCAUGAAUGCUCAGCUUACGGACCCGGUCCGGUCUUGCCUAAACCCGGUCGGGUCCUGCGAUUUCUGCUCUCUGAAAACUCCCAGCAUACGGACCCGGUCCUGCUUUAAUAACCGUUUUUCGCACGGUUUAUAUUUUAUCAUUAGGGAAUGUAAUAAAAAAGGAGAGACGUUGUUCCUUUUUCUUUUUCUCUGUUUUUUUGAGGGUUUGGUAUUUAAAGGGAUUUAUCAUAUUACUUGCCUUGAGGGAUUGUUAAUCAACGCUUCGACAUUGUAAUUUUAAUUAUAUUGAAGGUAUUAAUUUCAAUUCUAA